RNAcentral lists this ribosomal RNA (642 nucleotides) under uncultured Microbacterium sp. RNAcentral describes it as "bacterial SSU rRNA". It matches the Rfam family "Bacterial small subunit ribosomal RNA", at positions 897 to 1533 of the family's 1533-position model. Lineage: Bacteria; Bacillati; Actinomycetota; Actinomycetes; Micrococcales; Microbacteriaceae. The record is from RNAcentral.
AAACUUAAAGGAAUUGACGAGGACCCGCACAAGCGGCGGAGCAUGCGGAUUAAUUCGAUGCAACGCGAAGAACCUUACCAAGGCUUGACAUACACGAGAACGCCCUAGAAAUAGGGAACUCUUUGGACACUCGUGAACAGGUGGUGCAUGGUUGUCGUCAGCUCGUGUCGUGAGAUGUUGGGUUAAGUCCCGCAACGAGCGCAACCCUCGUUCUAUGUUGCCAGCACGUCAUGGUGGGAACUCAUGGGAUACUGCCGGGGUCAACUCGGAGGAAGGUGGGGAUGACGUCAAAUCAUCAUGCCCCUUAUGUCUUGGGCUUCACGCAUGCUACAAUGGCCGGUAACAAAGGGCUGCAAUACCGUAAGGUGGAGCGAAUCCCAAAAAGCCGGUCCCAGUUCGGAUUGAGGUCUGCAACUCGACCUCAUGAAGUCGGAGUCGCUAGUAAUCGCAGAUCAGCAACGCUGCGGUGAAUACGUUCCCGCGUCUUGUACACACCGCCCGUCAAGUCAUGAAAGUCGGUAACACCUGAAGCCGGUGGCCCAACCCUUGUGGAGGGAGCCGUCGAAGGUGGGAUCGGUAAUUAGGACUAAGUCGUAACAAGGUAGCCGUACCGGAAGGUGCGGCUGGAUCACCUCCUUUCUG